AAAGAUGAAGCGAAAUCACCAAAUUAGUUGCGACACAAAAUGGUGGCAAUACAUCCGUCUAUAAUAGCAGCAAGGCCAAAAUUUGGGAGGAAGAGCAAGCAUUUGGAAGCAUGGAUGAGUUAUUGGCCGUUUUGGGUUACGAAUUCAAGUCCUCCGACAUGGCUAAUCUCUUUGGCUGGCUCCAGAUCAUGCUCUCUGAACUCAACUCAAUUGACGACUCGUCAAACUCUCAAUAGUAGAAACAGAAGCAGAUUGAGACCCAAUCUCGGGUCAUUUAUGAUAACAACUCCGAGUACGAUCUCAGAGCCAUUGCUGGAUCCAAGGGUGAGAUUGGUGCACACACUCAUGGAAUGUGCUGAGGUUGUUCAGCAAGACAACUUGAAGGUAGUCGACACGCUCGUGAAGCAAGUAGGCACACUCGCCAUCUCCCAAACCGGCGCUAUGAGAAAGGUCGCCACUUACUUUGCAGAAGCCCUUCGCCGUCUCCCAAACUGGGUUUCUCUCAUUUUACCCCUCUGGUUCAUAAAGUAAGAAGCUUUGAUUAUGGUUUUGCUGUAAUGGGUUUCUCUGUUUCUAUGUUAGCAUCGUUGUUUCUUGUAUUGGACUUUUGAUUCUUGAUCUGGGUUUGAAGAAAGAGCCUCUAAUUUGAUGUGGGUGAUUGAACUAAAUUGAUGGGAAGCUAGCUAAAGAUGGGUUCUUUGGAGAUUGCUGACCGUCGCUGCCCAGUUCAGCACCGCCACAGUCGAUGUCGAAAACAGCUUCAUAGUACCCACUACUACUUGAAGAUCAAGAGGAAUUGGCUGUGGGGAUGAAGUGGUCAAGGAGAACUAGAUGAGGGGCUUCUGGGUUUCUGUACGAGAGAGAGAGAGCUCUCAAUUUUUUUUUUUUGAAAAAAUUGAAUUUAGCCUCAAAGGUCAUUUUGAGAAUUUCACCUUUCUUACAAGGUCAAAGGCUGAAAAGUGAGUCCGCAUGUCGGUUAGGGCUGUCAAUUUCGACUUGACCCGAUAACACGACUCGAAACCCGCAAGAUUAAAAAACGGGUCAGCGAUGGGUCAACCCGCCAUGACCCAUUUAAUAAAUGGGUCGGCCACGGGUUAACCUGCCAACACGAAGUGAACCCGUCUAACCCGAUUGUGCUAUGUUUCUUCUUGAAAUUUUGGACGUUAGGAGUAUUUGAUCAUAAUAUUAGACAAUUUGAAAUAUUUCGCUUUUUAAUUAUUAGAUUUAAUUAUUUAUGAAUUAUAUAUAAUUAUUUAUAUUCUUC
Long non-coding RNA from Rosa rugosa (rugosa rose), 1264 nucleotides. RefSeq lists it as uncharacterized. The transcript has 2 exons. NCBI's taxonomy places the organism in Eukaryota, Viridiplantae, Streptophyta, Magnoliopsida, Rosales, Rosaceae. The record is from RefSeq and is a predicted model, not a curated record.